UUUCCGGUUGAUCCUGCCGGAGGCUACCGCUAUUGGAGUUCGAUUGAAGCCUGCGAGUCGAGAGUCUUAGGGACUCGGCGUACCGCUCAGUAACACGUGGGUAACCUGCCCUAUGCUGGGGAAUAACCUCGGGAAACUGAGAAUAAUACCCCAUAGUUCACUACGCCUGAAACGGUGAGUGGAUGAAAGCUCCGGCGGCAUAGGAUGGGCCUGCGGCGUAUCAGGUCGUAGGGGGUGUAACGUACCCUCUAGCCAUCGACGCGUACGGGUGUUGGGAGACAUAGCCCGGAGAUGGAUUCUGAGACACGAAUCCAGACCCUACGGGGUGCAGCAGGCGCGAAAACUUGGCAAUGCGAGAAAUCGUGACCAGGGAACUCCAAGUGGCUGGGGUAAGACCCAGUCUUUUCUUGACUCUUCAAAGGUCUUGGAAUAAGAGGUGGGUAAGGACGGUGCCAGCCGCCGCGGUAAUACCGGCGCCUCAAGUGGUAGUCGAUUUUAUUGGGCCUAAAACGUCCGUAGCCUGUUUGGUACAUUCGUGGGUAAAUCAACCAGCCCAACUGGUUGAAUUCUGCGAGCACGGCCAGACUUGGGACCGGGAGAGGUGUGGGGGUACGCUCAGGGUAGGGGUAAAAUCCUGUCAUCCUGAGCGGACCACCUGUUGCGAAGGCGCCACACUAG
RNAcentral lists this ribosomal RNA (678 nucleotides) under uncultured archaeon. RNAcentral's name for it is "bacterial SSU rRNA". It matches the Rfam family "Archaeal small subunit ribosomal RNA", at positions 1 to 683 of the family's 1478-position model. The record is from RNAcentral.